This 177-nucleotide small RNA is filed under the name Sphenodon punctatus (tuatara). RNAcentral's name for it is "TUC338 (ENSSPUG00000002610.1)". The record is from RNAcentral. Lineage: Eukaryota; Metazoa; Chordata; Lepidosauria; Sphenodontia; Sphenodontidae.
CUGACACAAAUGGGAACUGAGGUCCUAUGUUUAUCCCCAGAGUUGGCAAAGCCUGGGUGGUGACAUGAAGGCUUGCCCACACAACCUUCCUAAUGCUCUUCACACCUGAAUUGAGGAGACAGCCUCAAAGGGUGAAAGGGUUGCUCAGUUUCCAUGUCCAUUCAGUCCUCAGCCUCU